RNAcentral lists this ribosomal RNA (301 nucleotides) under uncultured bacterium. Its description in RNAcentral is "partial 16S ribosomal RNA". It matches the Rfam family "Bacterial small subunit ribosomal RNA", at positions 509 to 809 of the family's 1533-position model. The record is from RNAcentral.
CAGUAGCCGCGGUAAGACGAGGGAUCCUAGCGUUGUUCGGAAUCAUUGGGCGUAAAGAGUAUGUAGGCGGCUUGGUAAGUCAGUUGUGAAAUCCCCGGGCUUAACCCGGGAAGUGCAAUUGAUACUGCUAAGCUUGAAUUUGGAAGAGGGUAGUGGAAUUCCUGGUGUAGUGGUGAAAUACGUCGAUAUCAGGAGGAACACCGGAGGCGAAGGCGGCUACCUGGUCAUAAAUUGACGCUGAGAUACGAAAGCAUGGGGAGCAAACAGGAUUAGAUACCCCUGUAGUCCCUGUCUCUUAUAA